RNAcentral lists this ribosomal RNA (433 nucleotides) under uncultured bacterium. RNAcentral describes it as "partial 16S ribosomal RNA". It matches the Rfam family "Bacterial small subunit ribosomal RNA", at positions 29 to 507 of the family's 1533-position model. The record is from RNAcentral.
AACGAACGCUGGCGGCAUGCCUAACACAUGCAAGUCGAACGAGACCUUCGGGUCUAGUGGCGCACGGGUGCGUAACGCGUGGGAACCUGCCCUUAGGUUCGGAAUAACUCCCCGAAAGGGGUGCUAAUACCGGAUAAUGUCUUCGGACCAAAGAUUUAUCGCCUUUGGAUGGGCCCGCGUUGGAUUAGCUAGUUGGUAGGGUAAAAGCCUACCAAGGCGACGAUCCAUAGCUGGUCUGAGAGGAUGAUCAGCCACACUGGGACUGAGACACGGCCCAGACUCCUACGGGAAGCAGCAGUGGGGAAUAUUGGACAAUGGGCGAAAGCCUGAUCCAGCAAUGCCGCGUGAGUGAUGAAGGCCUUAGGGUUGUAAAGCCCUUUUACCCGGGAUGAUAAUGACAGUACCGGGAGAAUAAGCUCCGGCUAACUCCGUA